GACGAACGCUGGCGGCGUGCUUAACACAUGCAAGUCGAACGGAAAGGCCUCAGCUUGCUGGGGUACUCGAGUGGCGAACGGGUGAGUAACACGUGGGUGAUCUGCCUUGCACUCUGGGAUAAGCUUGGGAAACUGGGUCUAAUACCGGAUAUGAACUGCCUUUAGUGUGGUGGUUGGAAAGUUUUUUCGGUGCAAGAUGAGCUCGCGGCCUAUCAGCUUGUUGGUGGGGUAAUGGCCUACCAAGGCGUCGACGGGUAGCCGGCCUGAGAGGGUGUACGGCCACAUUGGGACUGAGAUACGGCCCAGACUCCUACGGGAGGCAGCAGUGGGGAAUAUUGCACAAUGGGCGGAAGCCUGAUGCAGCGACGCCGCGUGGGGGAUGACGGCCUUCGGGUUGUAAACUCCUUUCGACAGGGACGAAGCUUUUUGUGACGGUACCUGGAUAAGAAGCACCGGCUAACUACGUG
RNAcentral lists this ribosomal RNA (467 nucleotides) under uncultured bacterium. Its description in RNAcentral is "partial 16S ribosomal RNA". It matches the Rfam family "Bacterial small subunit ribosomal RNA", at positions 28 to 507 of the family's 1533-position model. The record is from RNAcentral.